UUUACGCAGCUAUUCAACACGGAAUAGAAUCACACGGGACAUUACAACUCCUUUCUUGUAACUUUCUGGUCAUAAAAUAAACUUAGUUGAAAAUUUCAUCGGAUAUAUUGUUUCCAGAUAACGUAUCGGUGGUAGUUACAGCGCCUGAAUCAAGAUGUUACCAUUUUAAAAGAAUGAAGGCCUAUCCAUUCUGGGAACAAUAUUGUGGAGAUUGCAUAUUGCGACAAUGCCUGAAGUUGAACCACUCAGAUUUCCAUCAAGGGAAGACGGGCCAAGUUUACAAGAUCAGGUAGAUCUUCAAGCAGUGUGCCCCAGCAGACGUCGCAGUUGUGCCCUGGUUAACACACCCUCGCCGUGCGUCAACAAAGCUGUUUGCCAUAUUCAGGAGCUGAAGAGGAAAGUGGAGAACUGGUGUCAACAGGCAGGAAAUGUUCAGCAUCAGAUGUCUCAUGAAAAACAGCAAAAAAGCAAAACUUUUAGAUUGAAUUCCAGUGAAUCUGUGUCUUCAAUGAUACCUACAGAGUUAUACAUCGAAGGCAUUGGACUAAGUGCAAGAGGUGAAAGAGAGGGUGACCUGUUGUCUCCGCUGCGUAAGGAAACCACGGACGUCCUGGUAGAAGUAGUGUAUCUGAUUGAACGUCUGGAAGCUGAUCGCCAGGAUGCAGAGGAGGCUCUACAGUCGGAGAAGAAGAGAAGGAGAACUUUAGGGAGGAAAAUGUAUAGUAUUUCACUGUGGAAGCAGCAGGAGUUCCCUGUAGCUGUCCAGAAAGAGCACGAGGCCUGUACCAGAGACAUCAGUGAAUUGAAAUGGCAUCUGAAAAUGAGAAGAGAUAAACUUCACCAAGUGACAGAUAGAUUGAUCAAGACAGAAGUUCUGAAUCGGCGGUUAAAUGAGGACAUUGAUUUCAUCAAGAAAAAUGGGCCUCUGGUGAAGGAAAAACUGCAGCUGGAGAGCGAUUUCAUGAUCCAAAUUAAUACGGCUCAACAUAAGGCCCUUGAGACAUUUUCAAAGACCUUCAGUGAACUGAAGAGUUUUCAAGAAGAGAUGAGAAAGGAAGAACUGAAAGCAGAUGAGGAUAGAGGGUUGAUGUUCAAUGAACUUAAGGGCAUCAGGAAUCUGCUAAAUGACAGACUAACUGAGUUCCAGCAGCUGAUAGAUUAUUGGGAUGGCUACUGCAUUACAUUGAAGGAGACAGAGGAGAGGGUAGCUUUGAAGGAGGAGGAGUUGGGAGACAUGUCACAACAUAUCCCUGUGCUAGAGGUGCAGGAGACUGCAGUCAAUGAUCUGGUUGUGGAGUUGAACAUAUUUAUUGAGGUUGAAGGUAGAAAAAUUGCACAAUUAAAGGAAGAGAUUUCAGAGCUGCAGAAAGAAGUCCAUGCAACUAGACUUGCAGGUGAAGCGGCGGUCUCUCACUCCGAGGAGGUGUUCUGUAAGAAGCAUCAGGACAUCUUGGCUCUCCAUGAGGAAAACAAAGAGUAUGAACUAGAGACUGAGGACUACAGUAACACGAUCUAUGAGAGUGAGCAGGCGGUGAAGCAGCUUCAGAAGGAGAGGAAGCGCAUGCUACAGAAGAUCAGUGUGAAUGAGGAACAGAGAGAAGAGGCCAAGGAGGAGUUGUCCCAGGUGGCAGCAAUGCACGCUAACACCAAGGUCAACCUGGAGGAGCUGGAGCAGCAGACCUUCAUGGAGGAGCAGAGGAUGAGGAAAGUGAUUGAGAAUCUGAAGAAAGACAUUAUGAGCGAGAUGAAAGCCAUGGCCAUUCUGAAGGAUACAUUAACAACAUUUAAAGCAGAAUUACACCAGGAGCAAAACAACACAGAAAACGCCAGAUGGGAACUUCAUAAGGAAUUUGAAGAGGUGUCAUCAGCUACAAAACAACUGGAAAUUGAAAUGGAAAAACUGAGAAAGAUUUACAAUGAUAAAUCUGAGAAAAUUGAACGUUUAAGGGAGAAACUCUGUGAUAUUCUAACAGAACACAAAAACACUACAAAUUGUCUGGAAAAGGAAAGGAACCUGAAACGUGACCAUCUAAAUACAGUCAAGGAAUUACACCAAGAUGUUACCAAGAGGUUUGACCACGCCUUGAGCAGAAUCACAGUCCUCACUGCUAAGUCCAAAGAGUACAGAACAGGGUCUGACAGGAUGGAGGAAACAGCAGCCACAAUGCCAGGUGUCAUUGAAGAACUACAGUCCGUCUUUGAUGCCGUAGAGUUCAAAAACCAAACAGCUACGUUGAUCAUGAACACCUUAGAACGUGAUAUCAACAACUGUCGACAACGGAUUGAGCAAGCAGUACAAACUCACACUACUCUAUUCACAACCAGACAGCAACACAUGGAGGAAACCAAGUGUAAUGAAAGACGCUGGGAUACUAGAAGCAAGUACAGGGAGUGAACAUUUAAUAAAUAACGGACAUGAAACAGAACAUGGACAGCGUCUGGACAGGGGAAACAAAACAACAUUAAUGCUGACGGGAUCAAACUGAGGAACAGACAAAUAUAGAGGGGGCAAUCGACAAAGUGAAGGAGUCCAGGUGUUGCCCAUCUUCCACAUUAUCCCCUGUGUAUUUUCUACCUGACACAACCUGGUCUGUUUCACCUGUCCUUGUGCUUGUCUCCACCCCCUCCAGGUGUCACCCAUCUUCCCCAUUAUCCCCUGUGUAUUUAUACCUGUGUUUUCUGUCUGUCUGUGCCAGUUCGUCUUGUUUGCCGAGUCAACCAGCGUUUUUCUACUAGCUCCUGUUUUUUUUACCAGUCUCUGUUUUUCUCAUCCUCCUGGUUCUGACCUUUGCCUGUCCUGACUCUGAGUCUGCCUGCCCCUGACCUCGAGCCUGCCAGCCGGCCUGUACCGUAUUGGACUCUGACCUGGUUCUGACCUUUGCCUGUCCUGGCUCUGAGUCUGCCUGCCCCUGACCUCGAGCCUGCCAGCCGGCCUGUACCGUAUUGGACUCUGACCUGGUUCUGACCUUUGCCUGUCCUGACUCUGAGUCUGCCUGCCCCUGACCUCGAGCCUGCCAGCCGGCCUGUACCGUAUUGGACUCUGACCUGGUUCUGACCUUUGCCUGUCCUGGCUCUGAGUCUGCCUGCCCCUGACCUCGAGCCUGCCAGCCGGCCUGUACCGUAUUGGACUCUGACCUGGUUCUGACCUUUGCCUGUCCUGACUCUGAGUCUGCCUGCCCCUGACCUCGAGCCUACCAGCCGGCCUGUACCGUAUUGGACUCUGACCUGGUUCUGACCUUUGCCUGUCCUGACUCUGAGUCUGCCUGCCCCUGACCUCGAGCCUGCCAGCCGGCCUGUACCGUAUUGGACUCUGACCUGGUUAUGAACUCUUGCCUGUCCCCGACCUCCCUUUUGCCUACCCCUUGGACUAUAAUAAAUAUCAGAACUCAAACCAUCUGCCUCUUGUGUCUGCAUCUGGGUCUUGCCUUGUGUCGUUAUAUUAUGCCAAGACUCUAGCAAUGAUCAACAACCAAUUUGACAGAACUUUAAGAAUUUUGAAAAUAAUAAUGAGCAAAUAUUGUACAAUCCCUGUGUGCAAAGCUCUUAGAGGCUUAUCCAGAAAGACUCACAGCUAUAAUCAGUGCCAAAAGUAUUUCUAAAUAUAUGGACACCGGUGUGAAUACUAUAAAUUAGAUAUUUCUGUAUUUAUUU
RNA transcript from Oncorhynchus masou masou (cherry salmon), 3651 nucleotides. It is a transcript of the gene named coiled-coil domain-containing protein 178-like, with no coding region annotated. The record is from RefSeq and is a predicted model, not a curated record. The transcript has 19 exons. Lineage: Eukaryota; Metazoa; Chordata; Actinopteri; Salmoniformes; Salmonidae.